CAAGGAGUCGGAGCGGUAAUUUAUUACCGUCACGGCGUGCCUAUUGAAGAAUGAGCCAACGAGUUAAUGAAUACUGCGCGGCUAAGCCCGAGAGGGUGGAGCCAUAGGGAAACCGAGUGCGAAUAGCGCGUUUGUAGUAUGCAUUAGACCCGAAGCCAAUGCGAGCUUACCAUGAGCAGGGUGAACUAUGUCGAAAGAUGUAGGGAGGCCCGAACCCGUUAGUCGUUCAACUCUUUGGGAUGACUUGUGGUAAGAAGUGAAAAGCUAAUCGAGCUUGGUAAUAGCUGGUUCUCUCCGAAAUAGCUUUUGGGUUAGCGUCAGGUGUUCCUCUUGGGGGUAGAGCACUGGAAGAGUUCGACAGGGAGCAAUCUCGCGAACUCUAUCAAACUCCGAAUACCAAGAGUUAAGAACCUGGCAGUUAGACCGUGGGGGCGAAGCUCCACUGGUCAAAAGGGAAACAGCCCAGAUCCAUAUUUAAGGUCCCUAAAUCUAUGCUCAGUGCAAGUAAGGAUGUAAAGUUUCGAUGACAAUGAGGAGGUUUGCUUAGAAGCAGCAAUCCUUGAAAGAUAGCGUAACAGCUCACUCAUCGAGAGAUUCCGCGCCACAGAUACGCGGGGCUAAAGCAUGGUACCGAAACUGGGGGUUAUAUGUUUCUUCGGAAUCAUAUAGCGGUAGGAGAGUAUUCUUGUCUGCGAUGAAGGCAAAGGGGUGACCCAUGCUGGAGCGUCAAGAAGUAAGAAUGUUGGCACAAGUAACCACAAUCGAGGUGAAAACCCUCGACGCCGAAAGAUCAAGGUUUCCUUCGCUAUGACAAUCAGCGAAGGGUUAGUCGGGCCUAAGGGGAUGGUGAGAACCGAACCCGAUGGACACAUGGUUAAUAUUCCAUGACUUUCAUAUAGAGUGACGGACUGACGAAGUGUAGUAUGUGCGGCCUCCUAUUGGAUAGGGGUCCACGUCUUAAGAAUGUUCUGCAGGCAAAUCCGCAGACUGACUUUAAUGUCGAAUUCAAAUGAAAUGGUGAUGCGGGUGAUUCGUUGCCCGAUAAACGCAUAAAGCACGCUUCCAAGAAAAGGUUCUAAACUUAUCUAUAUGAAAACCGUACCGCAAACCGACACAGGUGAUCAGGUCGAGAAGACCAAGGCGAACGGGUUAGAGGUCUCCAAGGAACUCGGCAAAAAAGCAGCCGUAACUUCGGAAUAAGGCUUGCCUCUCGUAAAAAAGAGGUUGCAACAAAAGUAUCCCAACCGACUGUUUAUCAAAAACACAGCUCCCUGCGAAGUCGCAAGACGAUGUAUAGGGGGUGACACCUGACCAAUGCCAGAAGGUUAAAUAUCGGCGUUCUUAUAGCAAUAUAAGGGUGACUGAUAUAUGCCCUGGUGAAUGUCGGCCGUAACUAUAACGGUCCUAAGGUAGCGAAAUUCCUUGUCGGGUAAGUUCC
RNAcentral lists this ribosomal RNA (1438 nucleotides) under wastewater metagenome. RNAcentral describes it as "bacterial LSU rRNA". It matches the Rfam family "Bacterial large subunit ribosomal RNA", at positions 567 to 1984 of the family's 2925-position model. The record is from RNAcentral.